AUGAAAAUGCCAAACUGUUUAAAGAAAAAGUUAAAAGAUGGCAUGACAAAAGAAUCCAAAAGCGGGAAUUCAAAGUUGGUGAACAUGUUCUUUUAUACAACUCUCGUUUUAGAUUCUUUGCAGGAAAACUUCCCUCUAAAUGGGAAGGACCAUAUAUUAUUGAGGAGGUUUACCGCUCUGGAGCUAUCAAGUAACCCGAAGGUGGUCAAUGGUCAAAGAAUCACACACUACAUCUCAGGUACGCCCAUUAAUGUUGAAAGCAAUAUUAUCCAAACCAUGACACCGGAGGAACACAUAAAAGAAACCUUCCGGAACACUCCAGAAUAA
This 327-nucleotide ribosomal RNA is filed under the name Triticum aestivum (bread wheat). RNAcentral describes it as "partial small subunit ribosomal RNA". The record is from RNAcentral. Lineage: Eukaryota; Viridiplantae; Streptophyta; Magnoliopsida; Poales; Poaceae.